This 520-nucleotide ribosomal RNA is filed under the name uncultured Entrophospora. Its description in RNAcentral is "SSU rRNA". It matches the Rfam family "Eukaryotic small subunit ribosomal RNA", at positions 569 to 1084 of the family's 1831-position model. The record is from RNAcentral. Lineage: Eukaryota; Fungi; Glomeromycota; Glomeromycetes; Entrophosporales; Entrophosporaceae.
AGCAGCCGCGGUAAUUCCAGCUCCAAUAGCGUAUAUUAAAGUUGUUGCAGUUAAAAAGCUCGUAGUUGAAUUUCGGGAUUGACGUGAUGGUCAUGCCUUAAGGGGUAUGAACUGUUACUGUUGAUUUCUCACCUUCUGGAGAAACUUGAUGUCCUUUAUUGGGUGUCUUGCGGAUCUAGGACCUUUACUUUGGAAAAAUUAGAGUGUUUAAAGCAGGCAUUUUGCUUGAAUACAUUAGCAUGGAAUAAUAAAAUAGGACGGCAUGAUUCUAUUUUGUUGGUUUCUAGGAUCACCGUAAUGAUUAAUAGGGAUAGUUGGGGGCAUUAGUAUUCAAUUGUCAGAGGUGAAAUUCUUGGAUUUAUUGAAGACUAACUACUGCGAAAGCAUUUGCCAAGGAUGUUUUCAUUAAUCAAGAACGAGAGUUAGGGGAUCGAAGACGAUCAGAUACCGUCGUAGUCUUAACCAUAAACUAUGCCGACUAGGAAUCAGACGAUGUUAAUUUUUUAAUGACUCGUUUGAC